GAUGAACGCUGGCGGCGUGCUUAACACAUGCAAGUCGAACGAAGCACUUUGAAAAGUUUCUUUUAAAGUGACUGAGUGGCGGACGGGUGAGUAACGCGUGGGUAACCUGCCUCAUACAGGGGGAUAACAGUUGGAAACGACUGCUAAUACCGCAUAAGCGCACAGGACCGCAUGGUCUGGCGUGAAAAACUCCGGUGGUAUGAGAUGGACCCGCGUCUGAUUAGAUAGUUGGCGGGGUAACGGCCCACCAAGUCGACGAUCAGUAGCCGACCUGAGAGGGUGAUCGGCCACAUUGGAACUGAGACACGGUCCAAACUCCUACGGGAGGCAGCAGUGGGGAAUAUUGCACAAUGGGCGAAAGCCUGAUGCAGCAACGCCGCGUGAAGGAAGAAGGUCUUCGGAUCGUAAACUUCUGUCCUUAGGGAAGAUAAUGACGGUACCUUUGGAGGAAGCCCCGGCUAACUACGUG
RNAcentral lists this ribosomal RNA (469 nucleotides) under uncultured bacterium. RNAcentral's name for it is "bacterial SSU rRNA". It matches the Rfam family "Bacterial small subunit ribosomal RNA", at positions 28 to 507 of the family's 1533-position model. The record is from RNAcentral.